This 453-nucleotide ribosomal RNA is filed under the name uncultured bacterium. RNAcentral describes it as "partial 16S ribosomal RNA". It matches the Rfam family "Bacterial small subunit ribosomal RNA", at positions 28 to 507 of the family's 1533-position model. The record is from RNAcentral.
GAUGAACGCUGACAGAAUGCUUAACACAUGCAAGUCCACUUGAACUUCGGUUUGGGUGGCGGACGGGUGAGUAACGCGUAAAGAACUUGCCUCACAGAUAGGGACAACAUUUGGAAACGAAUGCUAAUACCUGAUAUUAUGAUUAUAUGGCAUCGUAUAAUUAUGAAAGCUAUAUGCGCUGUGAGAGAGCUUUGCGUCCCAUUAGCUAGUUGGAGAGGUAACGGCUCACCAAGGCGAUGAUGGGUAGCCGGCCUGAGAGGGUGAUCGGCCACAAGGGACUGAGACACGGCCCUUACUCCUACGGGAGGCAGCAGUGGGGAAUAUUGGACAAUGGACCAAGAGUCUGAUCCAGCAAUUCUGUGUGCACGAUGAAGUUUUUCGGAAUGUAAAGUGCUUUCAGUUGGGAAGAAAAAAAUGACGGUACCAACAGAAGAAGUGACGGCUAAAUACGUG